RNAcentral lists this long non-coding RNA (210 nucleotides) under Trifolium pratense (red clover). RNAcentral's name for it is "long non-coding RNA (TPRA_LNC007579)". The record is from RNAcentral. Lineage: Eukaryota; Viridiplantae; Streptophyta; Magnoliopsida; Fabales; Fabaceae.
GUAACACCCCGAACUAACUACCCUUAAAAACGUGAUCUUAAAAACUUUUUAAAGAUAAGUAGCCGGAGCGCUACGGAAAACAUUUUAUAAAACGAUCGUGCACACGACACGAAACGUCGCAGCGGAAAACAUUAAAUAAAGGAUUUUCAAAGCAAUGAACAAAAUAGUUCAAAAGAUAAUUCAUCUACAUAAAACAUAAGUUAAGAUGUU